Molecule: non-coding RNA, 21 nt
Filed under: Arabidopsis thaliana (thale cress)
Lineage: Eukaryota; Viridiplantae; Streptophyta; Magnoliopsida; Brassicales; Brassicaceae
Source: RNAcentral
GUACGAUCGCUGAGCGGUUGG